Symphalangus syndactylus (siamang) is the source of this 307-nucleotide long non-coding RNA. RefSeq lists it as uncharacterized. Lineage: Eukaryota; Metazoa; Chordata; Mammalia; Primates; Hylobatidae. The record is from RefSeq and is a predicted model, not a curated record.
UUCGUUGAUAGAGCAGCUUUCUAGAUGCAGCGCUGUUCACAUGUGACUGGUAUUUACCUUCUUUCAUCAAACAUGUCUUUAGAAUCGACUCAAGGCAAGAUGCAGUAGAGAAAUGUAAGAAUCAACUAGAGUAGCCAUUUAACUAGUAGGUACAUGUUCUCCAGCAAGUUCUUCAGCAUCUUUUCCAGAAGCAUUCAACAGCCAAGGAAGCAGGCUACACCUCACCUACUCCUUCCUGGGCUAAAGAUCUCAGACUUAGUUGCUUAAUUUGGGAAAAAUAAAUUAAAGAAUUCUUCUAUCAUUAUAC